This is a vault RNA of Xenopus tropicalis (tropical clawed frog), 100 nucleotides long. Its record names the gene Vault. It matches the Rfam family "Vault RNA". Rfam says of the family: This family of RNAs are found as part of the enigmatic vault ribonucleoprotein complex. Lineage: Eukaryota; Metazoa; Chordata; Amphibia; Anura; Pipidae. The record is from Ensembl.
GGGCUGGCCAUAUAGCUCAGCGGUUCCUUCUCAAAACUCUGAUUUAAACAGACCAAUCCUCUCGGGGGUUUGAAACCCGCGGGCGCUAUCCAGCCUUUUU